This 471-nucleotide ribosomal RNA is filed under the name uncultured bacterium. RNAcentral's name for it is "partial 16S ribosomal RNA". It matches the Rfam family "Bacterial small subunit ribosomal RNA", at positions 28 to 507 of the family's 1533-position model. The record is from RNAcentral.
GACGAACGCUGGCGGCGUGCUUAACACAUGCAAGUCGAACGAUGAAGCGGUGCUUGCACCGUGGAUUAGUGUCGAACGGGUGAGUAAUACGUGAGUGACCUACCUUUGACUCUGGGAUAAGCCUUGGAAACUGGGUCUAAUACCGGAUACGACCACUCCCUGCACGGGGUGUUGGUGGAAAGCGUUAUGGGGUGGUUUUAGAUGGGCUCACGGCCUAUCAGCUUGUUGGUGGGGUAAUGGCUUACCAAGGCGACGACGGGUAGCCGGCCUGAGAGGGUGACCGGCCACACUGGGACUGAGACACGGCCCAGACUCCUACGGGAGGCAGCAGUGGGGAAUAUUGCACAAUGGGCGGAAGCCUGAUGCAGCGACGCCGCGUGAGGGAUGACGGCCUUCGGGUUGUAAACCUCUGUUAGCAUCGAAGAAGCGAGAGUGACGGUAGUUGGAGAGAAAGCGCCGGCUAACUACGUG